GCGGGAUUUGGUGGGUCAAAGUGGAGGAACUUUCACUUUCACAGUGCAGUUAACUCUCUUGGCUAAAGUUCUUUUCCAGAAGGUUUAAAAUAUACCUUCCUUUGUGGAGAUGCCAAGAUGAGGGGCUGCAGGCCACGCUUAUGCUCCAAAAAGCAUAAGAGAACCCUGACUAAUGCAACCACGUCAGUAGCUAAGAAGACGGAAGAGGAACAAAGGCAGCUUGGAAGAUGUUGUUACCAGGAAGAAGGGGAGAAGAUGUAGAAUAAUCAUGAAUGUGCACUACAGAUGGGGGUUAUUAAAAUCAAUUUGCUGCUAUUUAGUAAGAGAAAUUUUGUUGACAAAAAUUUUAAAACAUUAGGGGAUAAGAAAUAAAAAGUCUUGGUGGUAAAAGGGUAUUGGGGGUUUUCUUCCUCCCAGCUUUUUAAAAUAAGUAGACAUAUGUUUAAAUGUUAUUCAG
Molecule: non-coding RNA, 457 nt
Organism: Odocoileus virginianus texanus
Lineage: Eukaryota; Metazoa; Chordata; Mammalia; Artiodactyla; Cervidae
Source: RefSeq, a predicted model, not a curated record